UCCUCAAUAGCUCAAUGGUAGAGCGCCCGACUGUUAAUCGGUAGGUUGUAGGUUCGAGUCCUACUUGAGGAGCCA
This 75-nucleotide transfer RNA is filed under the name Croceifilum oryzae. RNAcentral describes it as "tRNA-Asn". It matches the Rfam family "tRNA". Rfam says of the family: Transfer RNA (tRNA) molecules are approximately 80 nucleotides in length. Their secondary structure includes four short double-helical elements and three loops (D, anti-codon, and T loops). The record is from RNAcentral. Lineage: Bacteria; Bacillati; Bacillota; Bacilli; Caryophanales; Thermoactinomycetaceae. RNAcentral also lists the same sequence under 1 other name.